CACCAAGGCUUCGACGGGUAGCCGGCCUGAGAGGGCGACCGGCCACAUUGGGACUGAGAUACGGCCCAGACUCCUACGGGAGGCAGCAGUGGGGAAUAUUGCACAAUGGGCGCAAGCCUGAUGCAGCGACGCCGCGUGCGGGAUGGAGGCCUUCGGGUUGUAAACCGCUUUUGUUUGGGAGCAAGCCCUUCGGGGUGAGUGUACCUUUCGAAUAAGCACCGGCUAACUACGUGCCAGCAGCCGCGGUAAUACGUAGGGUGCGAGCGUUAUCCGGAUUUAUUGGGCGUAAAGGGCUCGUAGGCGGUUCGUCGCGUCCGGUGUGAAAGUCCAUCGCCUAACGGUGGAUCUGCGCCGGGUACGGGCGGGCUGGAGUGCGGUAGGGGAGACUGGAAUUCCCGGUGUAACGGUGGAAUGUGUAGAUAUCGGGAAGAACACCAAUGGCGAAGGCAGGUCUCUGGGCCGUUACUGACGCUGAGGAGCGAAAGCGUGGGGAGCGAACAGGAUUAGAUACCCUGGUAGUCCACGCCGUAAACGGUGGAUGCUGGAUGUGGGGCCCUUCCACGGGUCCCGUGUCGGAGCCAACGCGUUAAGCAUCCCGCCUGGGGAGUACGGCCGCAAGGCUAAAACUCAAAGAAAUUGACGGGGGCCCGCACAAGCGGCGGAGCAUGCGGAUUAAUUCGAUGCAACGCGAAGAACCUUACCUGGGCUUGACAUGUUCCCGGCGACGGCGGAGACGUCGUUUCCCUUCGGGGCGGGUUCACAGGUGGUGCAUGGUCGUCGUCAGCUCGUGUCGUGAGAUGUUGGGUCAAGUCCCGCAACGAGCGCAACCCUCGCCCCGUGUUGCCAGCGCGUCAUGGCGGGAACUCACGGGGGACCGCCGGGGUUAACCCGGAGGAAGGUGGGGAUGACGUCAGAUCAUCAUGCCCCUUACGUCCAGGGCUUCACGCAUGCUACAAUGGCCGGUACAACGGGAUGCGACAUGGUGACAUGGAGCGGAUCCCUGAAAACCGGUCUCAGUUCGGAUCGGAGCCUGCAACCCGGCUCCGUGAAGGCGGAGUCGCUAGUAAUCGCGGAUCAGCA
This 1080-nucleotide ribosomal RNA is filed under the name Bifidobacterium sp. PG2. Its description in RNAcentral is "bacterial SSU rRNA". It matches the Rfam family "Bacterial small subunit ribosomal RNA", at positions 266 to 1354 of the family's 1533-position model. Lineage: Bacteria; Bacillati; Actinomycetota; Actinomycetes; Bifidobacteriales; Bifidobacteriaceae. The record is from RNAcentral.